GGAAGACGGCCACUGCUCCAUUGAAGAGUAAAAAGAGAAGUCCUCAACAUCACCAACUUAAUAAUAAUAAUUUCUAGCAUACACAUCAACAUAUGAGACCAUUUAAUGAAAAAAUCAGUGAACAGCUUGUUCAUUGUCUAAACCAUAUCAUGCUUAUCAUGCUUGAACUUUCUUAUUAAAGUGUUCAGAAUUUUCUGCUACACAAAAGGCAGACUAAUAGCAAGUGAAAAACCAAAUUAUCUCCUCUGUAAAGGAAAACAACAUAAUAGAUGUCUGGUUUAGGAAGACAUCUUUGCACAAUUACUUUAUGGAUAUACCCUUUAUGAGUUCAGAUUGUGCAAAAGGGAAAUUUGAGAGAGAUAUCCUGGUUAUGGUAAGAUUAGCAACAGUUGAGAUUGCCUGUAUGGCUCUGGUCCCCAUGGUUAAUAGUCAUAUCUCAUGGAAGGAAGGCAUAUGAUGCAGGACCUUCUACUAGGGAUUUUAGGAAUAAAUUUGGGAAAUUUAAUUGAGUAGUAGCAUUUUAUUUCUUAGGAAGUUUGAGUUGUUUUAGUUUCCCAAUUAGUAUUGGUUUAGUAUUUUUUGGAAUUCCGAAUCCAAGUGGCAGUAGGAUUAGUUAUUAGUCUA
Molecule: unclassified non-coding RNA, 624 nt
Filed under: Hevea brasiliensis (rubber tree)
Lineage: Eukaryota; Viridiplantae; Streptophyta; Magnoliopsida; Malpighiales; Euphorbiaceae
Source: RNAcentral